Molecule: long non-coding RNA, 2778 nt
Organism: Anas platyrhynchos (mallard)
Lineage: Eukaryota; Metazoa; Chordata; Aves; Anseriformes; Anatidae
Source: RefSeq, a predicted model, not a curated record
CUUUGUCCCUGGGUCGCUGCUGCCCAUGCCUGGCGUGCGUUGGUAGGAUUUUAUUUUAUUUCCCGAGCACAGGGAGCUGGCCCAGCUGAUCACCUGCCAAAGAUCAGCUGGAGCCCGUGGUCCCCUCGCCGCCCGCACCGCCCUUUAUUAGCAGGGCACAGGAAAGUGCUUUCUGUGGGGGGGAGCAUCCCUCCCUUUGUGCCACCUGUGACCUGUGAAGCACCUGGAGCUGCGAGGUGAGCCAGCUGGGUCCCAGCCAUGCUCCACGGCCAGCUGGAGCCCUUCCACCCUCCAGCAAAUGCACAGCCACGCUCAGUGGCCAGGCACACGCAGGCAGAGCCGCUCGCUUCUGCUGCCACCGCAGGCUUGUGCAGCUGCAGAGGUCGCCCUGAAAACGCGGCCUCUUGUUAUUCUCUCGGUCCCUUCCGACCCGAACCACGCCGUGGAUCCGAUCCUGGGCUCGUUGUCGCGGCCUGACGCCAGGUGGAGCUGCACAAGCGACAGCGAAGCCCCGCAGCUCACCGAGGCGCUGCCCUGCAAUGCCCACCCUGCCCGGCUCGUCCUCUCCCCGCUCCUGCCUGCUGCAGGCAGCGGUGGGAGAAAUCAGGCCUGGGUCCCUGCGCAAAGCAGCACAGACCCAGAGAUAUUCUAGUAGUGAAACAGUUACACACAACCCCUUCCCGUAGCUUCUGGAGGGGUCUGGCAUCUUUACAUUAUGUAAAGAUCCUCCCAGCAUAAACCUUGAGCAUGUCUUUCACGCUGCCUUUUCCCAUUUUAUUUGGGGGUUUUCUUUCCUGACUUCACCAGGACCCCCCUGAAAAACUUCCCCAGCCCCUUCCCCAUCUCCUUCUCCGUCUCCGUCCCUCUCCUCUUGAAGCUGCUGAAAAUUAGCAGCUCAAAUUAAGAGCACUUCUGUGCUUGUCGGAAGCUUAGCCUGCUGCAACAGCGUCUCAGACCGCACAGAGGACACCAGAGCCUGUCAGCGACUCCUUCAUCUUUAUUUUCUCUUCAGUGUGAAGUGCCAGAGGUGUAAGCCCAGCGGAUUUUGGAGGACUCUGUUUGUUAUGACAUGAUCACGAUGGGAGCAAGGCAAGGUUCCUCCAGCCCAGCACUUCUAAACCUUCCCCUCAGUGGCAACACUUCACUUCAGCCUUUCCUGCCUCUUGCUCAGAGUGCAAAAUUAAAAAAGCAACAACAACAGCAACAAUUUGCAGAAAUAAGAUGAGCCUCUGAGUUCAUCUGGAGGUAUUUUUUCAAGAGGCUCCGAGGAGUUCUCUAAUAUCGCUUUGUCUCCCCCGUGCUUCUCCAGCCUCACUCAUGACCUGGACGAGCUGGAGGCUGGAGAUUUUUAAAUUAAGGUAGAAAAUCCCUGGGGAAAUGAGGCAGCUGUUUUUCUAAUAUUAUGUACACAGAUAUCUAAUGCAUAUUGAUGAAUUACAUAUACCAUUUAUAUUUAUGUUUAAAAGGUCAACAGUGUAUAUUUACGUACACGCACGUAUGUCUGGAUGCAUACAAGAUUGUACAUAAAAGGUCAACAGCAUGAGUAAGAAAAACAAGUUGGUAUUUCUAGCUCUUCUGUUUAAUUUGAGAGACACUGGGGGUCACCUAGGACGGCAGCGAAGGCUGGUGGCAAUCAUCACCCUGUUCUGCAGGUCUGUAGGCUCACCUGCAGUGCCUUGUAGCCUCAGAGAAAAUCCCCUCACACGCCCUUUUUCCACUCAGCCUGGGGAAUUCAACAGGGCACUUUAUCAUGGGGUGCUUUCCGUCGACUUACUGGGGGGGGAAAGCAACUGAAAAUUAGAGUAUAAUUUUCCCCAAACAAGCCUAAUUUAAAACAAACUAAAUGGCCUGUGUGAAACCAAUCAAGGAAAUAAAUUGUUUAAAAAAAAAAAAAAAAAGUGAUCUGGUUAACAGAUGGUCCCAGAGCUAAGGGAAGCUCUGAAAUGAGCUCAACCACACUAAGCUGUUAGAGGCUCCCAGCAAACAGGCCAAAAUAGCCACGGCUAAAUGCCGGAGUCAUUAUCAAACACACCAAUCUGCCUGUAAACGAGACAACGUUUCUACUGAAAGCAAGACUGUUAAAAGUACAACCUCCUCAUCCUGCAUAUUUGUGCCCAAUAUGUCCCAGUGUGAAGGCAAGACGUGCAUGGCUUUACCCUUCCAGUCUUACCAAGAGAGAGCACUGGGGCAGGAACAGGACUCAGCUACGCCUGAUGGUGCAGGAGGCUCCACUUCCAGAUGUUGAAUGAAGAUCCCAUUCCGCUGCAGCUGUAGAAGAGAUAACACAACAGGAAAAGUCUCAAAUUCUUCUCGUUGUCUCUUUUUUCCAGUUUCCUAACGAUGUAGGGGCAACGUGACCGGCACUGCACAUCGCUGCCCUACUUCCCUACCUCAAAUGUGCCAGAGGCAGGAUUUGAAUUUAAAGUUGACAAAUUGGAGAAACAGACUGAAAAAAUAAUAAGAUGAAAAUCUGUAAAGACAAGUGCAAAGCAUUACACUUGAGCAGGAAUAAUCAAUUUCCUGAGUACAAAUUGGGACCAAAUAGCUAGGAAGUGUUGGAGAAGAGGUUCUAGGGAUUGCAGUGGGUCAUAAGCUGAACAGACCUAUGAGAGGCUGCUGUGAAAUGAGUGAAUGUGUUAAGGGGGUCAGAGAACCCCUAGCUGCAGGAGAAAAACCCCGAGAGGGAGAAAAAAGGUGUAGUCACCAAAGAUCUCCAAUCUCCCUAUAGAAACUUUGGAGCAGUAAGAGUUAUACAUGAAAAUAAAUCAAUGACUAGAA